RNAcentral lists this ribosomal RNA (258 nucleotides) under uncultured bacterium. RNAcentral describes it as "partial 16S ribosomal RNA". It matches the Rfam family "Bacterial small subunit ribosomal RNA", at positions 99 to 354 of the family's 1533-position model. The record is from RNAcentral.
CGGACGGGUGAGUAACGACGUGGAAAACCUAGCCGUAUACUGGGGGAGUAACACUUAGAAAUAGGUGCUAAUACCGCAUAAGCGCACAGCUUCGCAUGAAGCGGUGUGAAAAACUCUGGUGGUAUACGAUGGUUCCGCGUCUGAUUAGCUAGUUGGUGGGGUAAUGGCCUACCAAGGCAACGAUCAGUAGCCGGCCUGAGAGGGUGAACGGCCACAUUGGGACUGAGACACGGCCCAAACUCCUACGGAAGGCAGCAG